Non-coding RNA from Choloepus hoffmanni (Hoffmann's two-fingered sloth), 110 nucleotides. The record is from Rfam. NCBI's taxonomy places the organism in Eukaryota, Metazoa, Chordata, Mammalia, Pilosa, Megalonychidae.
UUAACACGGUCUUCCUUCCAGGACCGUUUACCUAGGAAAGGCGACGGAGCGUCUCCCACCUUAGGGCUGUGGUGCUGGCUAAUGAUAGUUGAUGCCUUAGGGUUUUCACC